This 453-nucleotide ribosomal RNA is filed under the name uncultured Brevundimonas sp. RNAcentral's name for it is "bacterial SSU rRNA". It matches the Rfam family "Bacterial small subunit ribosomal RNA", at positions 8 to 507 of the family's 1533-position model. Lineage: Bacteria; Pseudomonadati; Pseudomonadota; Alphaproteobacteria; Caulobacterales; Caulobacteraceae. The record is from RNAcentral.
AGAGUUUGAUCCUGGCUCAGAGCGAACGCUGGCGGCAGGCCUAACACAUGCAAGUCGAACGAACUCUUCGGAGUUAGUGGCGGACGGGUGAGUAACACGUGGGAACGUGCCUUUAGGUUCGGAAUAACUCAGGGAAACCUGUGCUAAUACCGAAUGUGCCCUUCGGGGGAAAGAUUUAUCGCCUUUAGAGCGGCCCGCGUCUGAUUAGCUAGUUGGUGAGGUAAAGGCUCACCAAGGCUACGAUCAGUAGCUGGUCUGAGAGGAUGACCAGCCACAUUGGGACUGAGACACGGCCCAAACUCCUACGGGAGGCAGCAGUGGGGAAUCUUGCGCAAUGGGCGAAAGCCUGACGCAGCCAUGCCGCGUGGAUGAUGAAGGUCUUAGGAUUGUAAAAUCCUUUCACCGGUGAAGAUAAUGACUGUAGCCGGAGAAGAAGCCCCGGCUAGCUUCGUG